This 429-nucleotide ribosomal RNA is filed under the name Chloroflexota bacterium. RNAcentral's name for it is "Chloroflexi bacterium partial 16S ribosomal RNA". It matches the Rfam family "Bacterial small subunit ribosomal RNA", at positions 355 to 776 of the family's 1533-position model. Lineage: Bacteria; Bacillati; Chloroflexota. The record is from RNAcentral.
UGGGGAAUAUUGCACAAUGGGCGCAAGCCUGAUGCAGCCAUGCCGCGUGUAUGAAGAAGGCCUUCUGGUUGUAAAGUACUUUCAGUCGGGAGGAAGGUGGUAAGGUUAAUAACCUUAUCAAUUGACGUUACCGACAGAAGAAGCACCGGCUAACUCCGUGCCAGCAGCCGCGGUAAUACGGAGGGUGCAAGCGUUAAUCGGAAUUACUGGGCGUAAAGCGCACGCAGGCGGUCUGUCAAGUCGGAUGUGAAAUCCCCGGGCUCAACCUGGGAACUACAUUCGAAACUGGCAGGCUAGAGUCUUGUAGAGGGGGGUAGAAUUCCAGGUGUAGCGGUGAAAUGCGUAGAGAUCUGGAGGAAUACCGGUGGCGAAGGAGGCCCCCUGGACAAAGACAGACGCUCAGGUGCGAAAGCGUGGUGAGCAAGCAGG